AUACCUUUCUCGGCCUUUUGGCUAAGAUCAAGUGUAGUAUCUGUUCUUAUUAGUUUAAUAUCUGAUACGUGGGUCAUCGGCCCACAUGAUAUUAAAUAAAUAUUUUUAGGGGGAGGACCCACCACAGUUGCUUGCUACUGGGGUCCUCGCGCGUCUCCCUUGCGUUGCACUACUUCACGGGCCGGGCGCACCCCAC
This 196-nucleotide small nuclear RNA is filed under the name Nelumbo nucifera (sacred lotus). Its description in RNAcentral is "U2 spliceosomal RNA". It matches the Rfam family "U2 spliceosomal RNA". From Rfam's summary of the family: U2 is a small nuclear RNA (snRNA) component of the spliceosome (involved in pre-mRNA splicing). Complementary binding between U2 snRNA (in an area lying towards the 5' end but 3' to hairpin I) and the branchpoint sequence (BPS) of the intron results the bulging out of an unpaired adenosine, on the BPS, which initiates a nucleophilic attack at the intronic 5' splice site, thus starting the first of two transesterification reactions that mediate splicing. Lineage: Eukaryota; Viridiplantae; Streptophyta; Magnoliopsida; Proteales; Nelumbonaceae. The record is from Rfam by way of RNAcentral.